CUUCCCCUUUUUUGCUCUAGAGCCAUAGCUUUUAGCUGGCAAUUUCCACUGCUAUAAUCUGAUGGAAAGUGAUAAAAUGCAUCAGACUGCAGUACUCAAAUGAGAAAACACUCCAGAUUAGUAGGAAUAUAAUUAUGUUUUUCAUGACAUUGAUUUUUUAUUUUCUAACUGAUAAAAGUAAACAACUGGGGGGGGGAGGGGAAGAGUGCCGAAAAACAACAUUUAGACUUUAGUGAGAUAAUUAACUCAGCAAUUAAACAUAUUUUGUAUUCAGCAUUUGUCCUCCAUAGCACACAGCAUAUGUGACGUUUGUCCUUUAUUCAAAUUCUUCUUGCAAUCUUCUUUGUCAGCAGGAGUGGCAGCCGGCAAGAGUCCUGUAAGAAGGCCCACUUCCAUGGCGCUUUACUUGAAAGAUGAAUAUUCACAGCUAUGGCUUGGAAGGGAAGAGGCAGCCAAAAGGAAUCAUUAAGCUGAGCUAAAUGAGCAGAACUGAGAGGCAAGGCCAUACUCAAUCUCCUUAAAAUUAUCAGUGGGAAGUAACAGGGCCUGGAAAGCAGAAGGUCCAGCCAAAGCUUGCCUGUGAGUACAUGGCAAAGCUCAGACUGGAAGACAGAUGUUACUCGAUCCUUCUCUCAUUUGAUAAGCAGCAGCUCAGGUCGACGCUGCUCUGAACUUUGGAGAUGAUCUGCCUGCUAAGCUAUAGCACAUUUAUGAUUUGUGGGUUUCUAGUCUGACUUGGCUCCAUUUUUUAACUUUUCAUUUUCUUUUUAGGCACCCAAACUGCUCACUAGGUUUGGCAGCUGAUGGCUAUUAACUGUUACACUCCAAUAACCUGGGGAUAGUUAGAAGAGCAUUAAAUAUUUGCACUGUGCAGGAAGGCUAUACUUCAUCUCAGUACACACGAAUCCCAUGCUCUUUUCACACUGGAAGAAAACCCACCUUAUUGCUAUUCAAAUCUAUCUGUCUGUCUCUUCCUAUGCUGUCAUUAUGCAUGCAAGGCCUGUCAGUGCCAUUGACACAAAAAAACCCUCUCCCUUUAUGCCAACACCAGUGACACCUGAAAAAAAAGCCCACAACCAAGAUACGGGAGAAUUACUGCUUUUUACAUUUUUGUUUAUUUGGCCCUCAUUUUCUAAUAAAGCACCUUAUAGCAUCCCUCUAUAAAGGUAUUUCUCCCACCCUGCAAGGGUGAGCUCUUCCUGCAGGAACAGGUUAUAGAUAGAUGUAUAUGAAAGUAGGUUUUGGUAACUGAAGUUUAUCCCUGG
Gallus gallus (chicken) is the source of this 1265-nucleotide long non-coding RNA. Lineage: Eukaryota; Metazoa; Chordata; Aves; Galliformes; Phasianidae. The record is from Ensembl.